GGAGGAGGAGGAGGAGGAGGAGGGGGGCUUUUUGGUAAAUAAGAGGUUGUGUGGGGUUAGAGAGUGAGAAUGAGAGUGGAGGACUUGAUCAAGGAAACAGAGGAUGCCAGAGUUAUCAUUUUGGUAUUGGUUUCUGUGGAGAGAUAGGCAUUUAAGUUUAGAGACAGAAAGCGGUGGUCUUCUGUUUGGCGAGCGAGAAAGUGGAGAGGAAUAGUGGAAGAAUGUGGAAAUGAGUGAAGCAGCAGCGGCCAUUUCUUUGUUAGCGGCUUUUCUUCGUUUAUUUUAGUUUUUGACAAAAGAAGAGUGCCUCGACUCUCGAGCCUCCGGCUCUAGCCUACCCAUGUGUACGCGUUCGUUUUUCAUUGGAAAAAAUAUUAUUGUAUUGUACUUGAAUUACAAUUGUGAAGCAAUUAUUCAUCCAAUGUAGCCACCAUAUAACAAAAUGCAACAACAAAUUAUAUAAUUUGU
Molecule: unclassified non-coding RNA, 468 nt
Filed under: Hevea brasiliensis (rubber tree)
Lineage: Eukaryota; Viridiplantae; Streptophyta; Magnoliopsida; Malpighiales; Euphorbiaceae
Source: RNAcentral